CAGGGAUUGCCUCAGUAACGGCGAGUGAAGCGGCAACAGCUCAAAUUUUAAAGCUGGCGUCCUCGACGCCCGCGUUGUAAUUUGGAGAGGCAUCUUCGGUUUGGGCGCCAGCCUAUGUUCCUUGGAACAGGACGUCACAGAGGGUGAGAAUCCCGUGCUUGGCUGGCUGUCCCUCUCCAUGUGAAGUGUCUUCGACGAGUCGAGUUGUUUGGGAAUGCAGCUCAAAAUGGGUGGUAAAUUUCAUCUAAAGCUAAAUAUUGGCGGGAGACCGAUAGCGCACAAGUAGAGUGAUCGAAAGAUGAAAAGCACUUUGAAAAUAGAGUUAAAAAGUACGUGAAAUUGUUGAAAGGGAAGCGCUUGAGACCAGACUCGGCCGACGGCGAUCAGCGGCCCUUCUGGGCUGUGCACUCGUCAUCGGUUCGGGCCAGCAUCGGUCGAGACGGCGGGAUAAAGGCCCGAGGAAUGUGGCUCCUCUCGGGGAGUGUUAUAGCCUCGGGUGCAAUGCCGCCAGCCUCGACCGAGGACCGCGCUCUUUUGCUAGGAUGCUGGCGUAAUGGUCUUCAGCGACCCGUCUUGAAACACGGACCAAGGAGUCUAACAUCUAUGCGAGUGUUUGGGUGUCAAACCCUUGCGCGUAAUGAAAGUGAACGGAGGUGGGAACCCCUCCUCUGGGGGGGCGCACCAUCGACCGAUCCUGAUGUCUUCGGAUGGAUUUGAGUAGGAGCAUAGCUGC
RNAcentral lists this ribosomal RNA (733 nucleotides) under Neogyromitra brunnea. Its description in RNAcentral is "Gyromitra brunnea partial large subunit ribosomal RNA". It matches the Rfam family "Eukaryotic large subunit ribosomal RNA", at positions 69 to 809 of the family's 3401-position model. Lineage: Eukaryota; Fungi; Ascomycota; Pezizomycetes; Pezizales; Discinaceae. The record is from RNAcentral.